Molecule: ribosomal RNA, 335 nt
Filed under: Candidatus Magasanikiibacteriota bacterium
Lineage: Bacteria; Candidatus Magasanikiibacteriota
Description: bacterial SSU rRNA
Rfam family: Bacterial small subunit ribosomal RNA
Source: RNAcentral
UUAUAUGAGAGUUUGAUCCUGGCUCAGGAUGAACGCUGGCGGCGUGUCUAAGGCAUGCAAGUCGAACGGACUGUUAUUUGUAGCAAUACUUAGAACAGUUAGUGGCAAACGGGUGCGUAACACAUUGGUAACCUGCCUCAAAGUCGGGCAUAAUCCCGCGAAAGUGGGACUAAUUCCACGAUAGUCAUCGAAGGUGAGAUUCCUUCGAUGUAAAGUCGCAAGACGCUUUGAGAGGGGCCUAUGGCCUAUCAGCUUGUUGGUGAGGUAACGGCUCACCAAGGCUAUGACGGGUAGGGGGUGUGAGAGCACGACCCCCCUCACUGGGACUGAGACAC